GGUUAAGCGACUAAGCGUACACGGUGGAUGCCCUGGCAGUCAGAGGCGAUGAAGGACGUGCUAAUCUGCGAUAAGCGUCGGUAAGGUGAUAUGAACCGUUAUAACCGGCGAUUUCCGAAUGGGGAAACCCAGUGUGUUUCGACACACUAUCAUUAACUGAAUCCAUAGGUUAAUGAGGCGAACCGGGGGAACUGAAACAUCUAAGUACCCCGAGGAAAAGAAAUCAACCGAGAUUCCCCCAGUAGCGGCGAGCGAACGGGGAGGAGCCCAGAGCCUGAAUCAGUGUGUGUGUUAGUGGAAGCGUCUGGAAAGGCGCGCGAUACAGGGUGACAGCCCCGUACACAAAAAUGCACAUGCUGUGAGCUCGAUGAGUAGGGCGGGACACGUGGUAUCCUGUCUGAAUAUGGGGGGACCAUCCUCCAAGGCUAAAUACUCCUGACUGACCGAUAGUGAACCAGUACCGUGAGGGAAAGGCGAAAAGAACCCCGGCGAGGGGAGUGAAAAAGAACCUGAAACCGUGUACGUACAAGCAGUGGGAGCACGCUUAGGCGUGUGACUGCGUACCUUUUGUAUAAUGGGUCAGCGACUUAUAUUCUGUAGCAAGGUUAACCGAAUAGGGGAGCCGAAGGGAAACCGAGUCUUAACUGGGCGUUAAGUUGCAGGGUAUAGACCCGAAACCCGGUGAUCUAGCCAUGGGCAGGUUGAAAGUUGGGUAACACUAACUGGAGGACCGAACCGACUAAUGUUGAAAAAUUAGCGGAUGACUUGUGGCUGGGGGUGAAAGGCCAAUCAAACCGGGAGAUAGCUGGUUCUCCCCGAAAGCUAUUUAGGUAGCGCCUCGUGAAUUCAUCUCCGGGGGUAGAGCACUGUUUCGGCAAGGGGGUCAUCCCGACUUACCAACCCGAUGCAAACUGCGAAUACCGGAGAAUGUUAUCACGGGAGACACACGGCGGGUGCUAACGUCCGUCGUGAAGAGGGAAACAACCCAGACCGCCAGCUAAGGUCCCAAAGUCAUGGUUAAGUGGGAAACGAUGUGGGAAGGCCCAGACAGCCAGGAUGUUGGCUUAGAAGCAGCCAUCAUUUAAAGAAAGCGUAAUAGCUCACUGGUCGAGUCGGCCUGCGCGGAAGAUGUAACGGGGCUAAACCAUGCACCGAAGCUGCGGCAGCGACGCUGAUGCGUUGUUGGGUAGGGGAGCGUUCUGUAAGCCUGUGAAGGUGUGCUGUGAGGCAUGCUGGAGGUAUCAGAAGUGCGAAUGCUGACAUAAGUAACGAUAAAGCGGGUGAAAAGCCCGCUCGCCGGAAGACCAAGGGUUCCUGUCCAACGUUAAUCGGGGCAGGGUGAGUCGACCCCUAAGGCGAGGCCGAAAGGCGUAGUCGAUGGGAAACAGGUUAAUAUUCCUGUACUUGGUGUUACUGCGAAGGGGGGACGGAGAAGGCUAUGUUGGCCGGGCGACGGUUGUCCCGGUUUAAGCGUGUAGGCUGGUUUUCCAGGCAAAUCCGGAAAACUAAGGCUGAGGCGUGAUGACGAGGCACUACGGUGCUGAAGCAACAAAUGCCCUGCUUCCAGGAAAAGCCUCUAAGCAUCAGGUAACAUCAAAUCGUACCCCAAACCGACACAGGUGGUCAGGUAGAGAAUACCAAGGCGCUUGAGAGAACUCGGGUGAAGGAACUAGGCAAAAUGGUGCCGUAACUUCGGGAGAAGGCACGCUGAUAUGUAGGUGAAGUCCCUCGCGGAUGGAGCUGAAAUCAGUCGAAGAUACCAGCUGGCUGCAACUGUUUAUUAAAAACACAGCACUGUGCAAACACGAAAGUGGACGUAUACGGUGUGACGCCUGCCCGGUGCCGGAAGGUUAAUUGAUGGGGUCAGCGCAAGCGAAGCUCUUGAUCGAAGCCCCGGUAAACGGCGGCCGUAACUAUAACGGUCCUAAGGUAGCGAAAUUCCUUGUCGGGUAAGUUCCGACCUGCACGAAUGGCGUAAUGAUGGCCAGGCUGUCUCCACCCGAGACUCAGUGAAAUUGAACUCGCUGUGAAGAUGCAGUGUACCCGCGGCAAGACGGAAAGACCCCGUGAACCUUUACUAUAGCUUGACACUGAACAUUGAGCCUUGAUGUGUAGGAUAGGUGGGAGGCUUUGAAGUGUGGACGCCAGUCUGCAUGGAGCCGACCUUGAAAUACCACCCUUUAAUGUUUGAUGUUCUAACGUUGACCCGUAAUCCGGGUUGCGGACAGUGUCUGGUGGGUAGUUUGACUGGGGCGGUCUCCUCCUAAAGAGUAACGGAGGAGCACGAAGGUUGGCUAAUCCUGGUCGGACAUCAGGAGGUUAGUGCAAUGGCAUAAGCCAGCUUGACUGCGAGCGUGACGGCGCGAGCAGGUGCGAAAGCAGGUCAUAGUGAUCCGGUGGUUCUGAAUGGAAGGGCCAUCGCUCAACGGAUAAAAGGUACUCCGGGGAUAACAGGCUGAUACCGCCCAAGAGUUCAUAUCGACGGCGGUGUUUGGCACCUCGAUGUCGGCUCAUCACAUCCUGGGGCUGAAGUAGGUCCCAAGGGUAUGGCUGUUCGCCAUUUUAAAGUGGUACGCGAGCUGGGUUUAGAACGUCGUGAGACAGUUCGGUCCCUAUCUGCCGUGGGCGCUGGAGAACUGAGGGGGGCUGCUCCUAGUACGAGAGGACCGGAGUGGACGCAUCACUGGUGUUCGGGUUGUCAUGCCAAUGGCACUGCCCGGUAGCUAAAUGCGGAAGAGAUAAGUGCUGAAAGCAUCUAAGCACGAAACUUGCCCCGAGAUGAGUUCUCCCUGACUCCUUGAGAGUCCUGAAGGAACGUUGAAGACGACGACGUUGAUAGGCCGGGUGUGUAAGCGCAGCGAUGCGUUGAGCUAACCGGUACUAAUGAACCGUGAGGCUUAACCUU
RNAcentral lists this ribosomal RNA (2905 nucleotides) under Escherichia coli JB1-95. Its description in RNAcentral is "bacterial LSU rRNA". It matches the Rfam family "Bacterial large subunit ribosomal RNA". The record is from RNAcentral. Lineage: Bacteria; Pseudomonadati; Pseudomonadota; Gammaproteobacteria; Enterobacterales; Enterobacteriaceae.